RNAcentral lists this long non-coding RNA (6095 nucleotides) under Cucumis sativus (cucumber). Its description in RNAcentral is "long non-coding RNA (CSAT_LNC002198)". Lineage: Eukaryota; Viridiplantae; Streptophyta; Magnoliopsida; Cucurbitales; Cucurbitaceae. The record is from RNAcentral.
CCUAUUGUGUUUAUAAAUGAACGCCUCCAAAAUAUAUGAUCAAAAUCCUAAAUUCAUUAAGGACACACUACUAAGGCCUGGGCAUCAAAGAGUUUUUCUAGAUAAAGUUAAUGGUGUUGAUUCUUAUUAGGGAGAAGAGAGCUUCGAAAGAAAGAAUUUCUGUACAUAGCUAAGCCUCUUUAUUUCUUGUGUGAAUAUUUACAUAUCCCAAGCUUGAUACAUAUAGGAGCUUUGUGAUAAUUAUCUUCUAACAAACUAACUAAUAAACUGUGUAACAGAAAAAUAACUAUCUAACAGUCUUAUUGUUAAUACUCCCCCUCAAGUUGGACGAUGAAUGUCUAUGAUGCCCAACUUGGAUAACAACCUAGUUAAGGUAGACGAUGGUAGUGCUUUGGUAAACAUAUCAGCUAGUUGUAGGCUAGACUUGAUACAUAGAACUUUUAAGAAGCCUUCAACUAUCUUGUCUCGGACAAAAUGACAAUCAAUCUCUAUGUGUUUUGUCCUUUCAUGGAAUGGCGGAUUAGAAGCUAUUGCAAUUGCUGCUUGAUUGUCACAAAACACAGUAGCUAGCAUUAAAGUCUUAUUGAGGUCAAUGAGGAGUUGAGAGAUCCAUACUAACUCACUGGUGACUGAUGCCAAGGCCCUAUAUUCAGCUUCUGCAGAGGACCGGGAGACCAUUGCCUGUUUUUUAGAUUUCCAAGAGAAGAUAGAAUCUCCUAGGAAAAUGCAAAAUCCUGUGACUGAUCUUCUAGUAUCAAGGCACAAUCCCCAAUUAGCAUCAACAAAAGCCUUUAGGUGGAAUGAAUUAAUGGGUUUUAUUAAAACACUCUGUCCUGGGGUACCUUUUAGGUAUUUCAGUAGAUGAUGAGCAGUAUUAGGUGAUCUUUCGUAGGUUUUUGCAAGAACUAGCUAAGACGGUGGACAGCAAAACAAAUAUCUAGUCUAGAUAUUUGUAGGUAUAUCAAUCUGCCAAUCAGUCUUCUAUAGUAGGUAGUGUCUUCCUCAGCUAGCUGCCUUCCCUCCGUGUUAGAUAGCUUCAAAUUAGGAUCCAUAGGUGCUGCAGUCGGUUUAGAAUCAAGAAAACCAGUAUCUUCUAGGAUUUGAAGGCAGUAUUUUCUUUGGGAGAGCAUGAGUCCUUGUUGAGACCGUGAUAACACUAGACCCAAGAAAUACUUUGCUUGCCCCAAGUCCUUUAGUUUAAAGUGUGUCUUUAGGCUGUCCUUGACUGAGUUGAUAAUUGAGGAAGAUGGUCCGGUUAGUAAUAUGUCAUCUACAUAUACUAACAAGGCUACAAAGUUGCUUCCAUUGCCUCGAGUGAAUGAUGAGUAGUCGAAUUUGGAUUGAAUGAAGCCAUGUGAGGAUAUUGAUGCUGCAAAUUUUAUGAACCAUUGCCUUGAUGCUUGCUUGAGGACAUAUAUGAUCUUAUUAAGUUUGCAAGCCAAUCUUUCUCCUUUUCUUGGUACUUGAGAAGUUUGGUAGCCCAAUGUUAAGGACAUAUGCACUUCUUCAAACAAGUAUCCAUUUAAGAAGGCGUUAUUUAUGUCCAUUUUGGUAAGAGACCAAUUAUAGGAUGUAGCAAGGGCUAAGAAUAUCUUGACAGUAACUAUUUUAGCUACCGGUGAGAAGGUAUCUGAAAAAUUUAUCCUUCUUGUUGAUUAUAGUUCUUUUCUACGAGUCUUGCCUUGUAUCUAUCAAUGGUGCUAUCCAGUUUACACUUCACUUUGUAUACCCAUUUAUUACCAACCGUGUGAUGAUUUUUAGGAAGAGAAACAAUGGUCCAUGUAUUCGUCCUCUUCAUAGCUUCUAUUUCUUCAACCAUAGCUUUUCUCCAAGUCUGGUGUUUUACAACUUGGUGAUAAUAGGACGGUUCAUAUAUGGAAGCAAUAUUGAACAAAUAGUUUUUAUGGUGUUGGGAGUAGGCUUUAUACGAGAGGUAUUUAGUAAGGUGAAAGGGAGUUGAUCUUUGGGAGGUGAGGUUACAAUGAAAAUCUUUUAGGUAAGAAGGUGGAUGGUAUUGUCUAGAGGAUUUUCUGGGUGCUAUGGUAAUAGGUAUUUGGACAGGGCUAUUAGUCUCUUCUGAAUCUUCAGUACAAGGAUCAUGAUCAUCAACACCGUGGUUAUCUUCAAGGGUAUUUUUUGAUAUAGGUCUUUCAGCAGUAGUCAGAUCAAUGAUGGUCUCUUUUUCUAGGCAAUCAAUUAAAGGGCAUGGUAUGACGAAUUGCUCAAGGAAGUCAUGUGAGAUAGAUGUACCUUUUUCUUUGAUAGAAUGAAAGGGAAAUAAUUCUUCAAAGAAUAGGACAUCCCUAGAAACAAAUAACUUUCUCCUAGCUAAGUCAUAUAGUUUGUAUCCCUUCAUGCAAGGUUGAUAUCCCAAAAAAACACAAGGUUGUGCUCUAGGAUCGAACUUGGAUCUGGUUGCUGAGAGAGUAGAGGCAUAGGCAAGACAUCCAAAGGUUCUGAUAAUGCUGUAAUCAGCUUCUUUCUCAAACAGAGUGGCAAAUGGAGUGCUAUUAGAGAGUAGGACCAUGGGUGUCCAGUAUAUUAGAUAGACAACACUCAAAAUACAUUCUCCCCAAAAAGUAAGAGGGGAUUUUGAUUGGAACAUCAAUGCUCUUGCCACGUUGGGGAGAUGUCGAUGCUUUCUCUCCACCACUGAGUUCUGCUUAGGGGUGUAGACACAUGAAAACUGGUGAGCAGUUCUAGUUUUAGCAAAAAAUUCCCUGAAAUUCAAUUCUGGAGCAUUUCAGAACAAAAAGCAUUAAUGACUUUUGAGAAAUGAGAUUCAAUCUAUAAGAACCCUAGAUAGAAAAAUAGUGGAUUAUUAGGAGAAAAUUAAAAUGGUUGUUAGUAAGGUCAUAUUAGUAAAUAGAUGGUAAGUUGGUUAGGUCUUUUUGUUAUAAAUAGUGGGAGAGGGGUUGGGGAGAGGUGUGAAGAAUUUUGAAGAAAGAUUUCCUUGUAAGGGAACCUUGGGAGAGUCUAGCCCUCUCAAAAGGCUAGGGUUACUUGUUACUUGUUAUUAUGAUCUUCUAAUAUAUAUUUCAUAUUUGGAUGUUUUUUAAGUGUUCUUGAGUUCAUCUUUUCUUCUUGAGGUAAUCCUUGUUAGGUGGGAUUUUAAGACAAUCAUCUUGAAAAACCGAUGAAUGACUUGUAGAAUAUCAUUCUUAUUUUCCAAAAGGUAUACACAUGUGUAUCUAGACUUAUCAUCAACAACGGUGGCAAAAUAAGAGUGACCAGAAUGUGUUAAGGUUUUAAAAGGACCCCAUAUAUCACAAUGCACAAGAUCAAAUGCAUUAUCAGCAAUAUUAUUGAAUGUAGGAAAUGAAAGACAUCUUUGUUUAGCCCGGGGACAAAUGUGACAAAUAUUUUUUACAGUUUGGGGAAUAAAAAAUUUCUCUCUUCUUUGUUAAUUCCUUUAUCCCAUUCGUUUGUGCCAUGUAGAAAUGGAAGCUUUACACAUCAGUGUAGUAUGUUGAAUGCAGUUAUCUUUGUAUUUCCUCACUCUGAGCAAGUAGAGGCCAUUAGUUACCUCAACCUUCCCAAUCGUUUUCGAAAGCAACUUGUCCUAAAUAAGACAAUUAGAAUUAGAAAAUGACACAGCAAAUCUUUCAUCUUUGAGAAGAGCACUCACUGACAGUAGGUUGUAUUUGAAGUCAGGAAUAUAAAGUACAUCCCUUAGGAUCACUUCUUUUGCUAUGGAAAUAUCUCCUAUAUACUCAACCUUUAGGUGAGUUUUGGUAGGUAAGAUUACUGACAUAUUCUGGAUACUGUGGAGAUUUUUAAAAGCAGACUUGUCAUAGCAAAUAUGUGAGGAAGCACCACAAUCGAUGAUCCAGAUUGAUGAAUUAGUGAGAGAAGUAGAUAGACAAGUACCUGCUAUGUGAGUGGUCUCUAUUUUGGGAUUCUCACCAUUUUGAGAUGUGUUAAGAUAAGAUGAGUUUGAAGCAUACUCAUAAGCUAUGAAUAUUGGUCAUUGUUGAGACUUGGCAAAGAAGGCAGAUUAAUUAGAAGCUUCUGUCAUUUUCUCAUUUCCAGCUUGAAUUGUAUUGCUUUGUCUCUGUUGGUGAACAGAGUUGUUGCUUGCAAGUCUAUGGUCGGGAGGAUAACCAUGCAACUUGUCACACUUGUCAACAACAUGUCCUCUAUAGCCACAAUUAGAGCAUAUAGGUCGCGUGUCCUUUUUCUUGGACUUCUCAUAAGGAAAUCUUCUCUCAAAAUUAGCCAAUAGUGUUAUACUCUCAAGGGAAGGUGAAGAUCCAAUGGAUCUUUGUCUAUCUUCUUGGAUAAUGAGGGAGAAAACUUUGUUUAUAGGUGGCAGGGGAUCAAUCAAGAGGAUUUGAGCUCUAAUAUGGGAAUAGGAUUCAUUUAGUGUCAUGAGAAAGGUCAUUACAAAUUCUGAGAUCAAAAAAUCAAUCAUCUUCUUUGAUCCUUCACAAGUGCAUUCAUCCACAAGACGGUAUUCAACUAGUUCUUGCCAUAUAGUGGUGAUUUUUGCAUAGUAAACUUUAACUGAGAGAUUCCCCUGUGUAGUAGUUACCAAGUCUUUUCGCAACUGGUAUAUGUGAGGUCCAUUGGACUGCCUAUAUCUUUCCUUCAAUUCAUCCCACACUUCCUUUCCGUUUCCAUUGUAAACACAAGCAUCAUUGCUCUACUCCAUGAUGAGUAAUUAUUUGAUCCUACCAGUGGUGUAGAAACAAGGUUGGUGGUUGGAAUGAUUGAAUGGUGUAGCAUGAACGGGUUUAAUUGGAUAUCAAGAUCAUAUGAGGUAAUUGGUGCUGAAGUAUUGGAGCUGCUGGAGCUGCUGGAUGUCGAAUUCUCAGGUGUCGCCAUUGCUGCAGACUGCACGAGGGUAUAGGGACGUUCAGGUUUUUUCUUCUAAGACUGUCUUUGCGGAAAUUUCUCUAAUACCAUAUUGGGGAGAAGAGAGCUUCGAAAGGAAGAAUUUUUGUACAAAGGUAAGUCUCUUUAUUUCUUGUAUGAAUAUUUACAUAGCCCAAGCUUGAUAUAUAUAGGAGCUUGGUGAUAACUGUCUCCUAACAAACUAAAUAAUAAACUGUGUAACAGAAAAAUAACUAUCUAACAGCCUUAUUGUUAAUAAUUCUCCCCAAAAGCAGCAGGCCGAGAGAAUAUUUGAACUUUCUUUGAGGUUCUAACCUCCCGGAGCUUAGAAGAGAAUAAAGAAUGUUGUAGACUGUUGGGUGAAGACACAAGGCUACAAAAAAGAUUGUACCUUAAUUGAUGAACUUCAUAUAAAUACCCAUGACCUAUCUUUCAGAUCAUUGUUCUUAAUUUAUUUUCACACUACAACGUUGACUUCUUGUUCCAAAAACCAAUGUUAAAAUUGACAUAUCACAACCCCCCUUGGGGAGCUUUGUCCAAAUCCUUCACAGACUUCUCGAUUAAGGAUAUAGGCCUAAAUUGGAGGGCAUUCACACAUCUACCCUAUUGGUCAUCUUUCUUUUCAGGGGUUCACUUUGUAUUUGUUUGGAUUAAUUUUGAAUCAUGCUUCAUCUCUUUGUUGUUUUGUGAUGCAUUCCUCGUUUGUUCUGUGAGAUUGUUGCUAUAAUUCCAUUUGGAAUGUUAUGUCAGCUUAUAUUGGAUAUGAUAUAGAUGCUAAGUGAGUGUCAAUCUAAUUAAGAUUCCUAAGUUCACCUCUUAAUUCUUAGGUUUCGCAUUGUAUAUAUAUUGUAACUUAAGCAUUCAUUUCCUUUUGCAUUGUAUAUAUAUUGUACCUUAAGCAUUAGUUUCCUUUCAUUACAUCAAUGAAGAGGAGAUUCCUAAGUGCACCUCCUGAUUCUUAGGUUUCCUUUUGCAUUGUAUAUAUAUUGUACCUUAACAUUAGUUUCCUUUCAUUACACCAAUGAAGAGAUUCAUUUCCUUUUCCAAAAAAACAAAAGUGAUUUGUCAAAAAACCUCAUGUGACACGGUCAAAAUCAUCAUGUAAAGCAAACAAAAAAGGGGUUUUGGUAUGCUGCUAGCCUACUGCAUAUAUGUAUAGCUUGUAUACAAAUAUUUCAUGACCAGAAAACAAACCCAAAGAUUCAGAAAGUUGAAUUUGCAACUGAUUCAUCUUAAGUAGUGAUAGCCUUUGCUUAAAG